UACGGAGGAUGCGAGCGUUAUCCGGAUUCAUUGGGUUUAAAGGGUGCGUAGGCGGUUUUUUAAGUCAGUGGUGAAAUCCUGCGGCUCAACCGUAGAACUGCCAUUGAAACUGAAGAACUUGAAUAUAGUUGAGGUAGGCGGAAUGUGCAGUGUAGCGGUGAAAUGCUUAGAUAUUGCACAGAACACCGAUUGCGAAGGCAGCUUACCAAGCUAUUAUUGACGCUGAGGCACGAAAGCGUGGGGAUCGAACAGGAUUAGAUACCCUGGUAGUCCACGCCUUAAACGAUGUUCACUCGCUGUUUGCGAUAUACCGUAAGCGGCCAAGCGAAAGCAUUAAGUGAACCACCUGGGGAGUACGUCGGCAACGGUGAA
This 372-nucleotide ribosomal RNA is filed under the name uncultured bacterium. Its description in RNAcentral is "bacterial SSU rRNA". It matches the Rfam family "Bacterial small subunit ribosomal RNA", at positions 524 to 898 of the family's 1533-position model. The record is from RNAcentral.